AGAGUUUGAUCCUGGCUCAGAUUGAACGCUGGCGGCAUGCUUUACACAUGCAAGUCGAACGGCAGCACGGGUGCUUGCACCUGGUGGCGAGUGGCGAACGGGUGAGUAAUGCACCGGAACGUACCCAGUAAUGGGGGAUAACACAUCGAAAGAUGUGCUAAUACCGCAUACGCCCUGAGGGGGAAAGCGGGGGAUCGUAAGACCUCGCGUUAUUGGAGCGGCCGAUGCCGGAUUAGCUAGUUGGUGAGGUAAGAGCUCACCAAGGCGACGAUCCGUAGCUGGUCUGAGAGGACGACCAGCCACACUGGGACUGAGACACGGCCCAGACUCCUACGGGAGGCAGCAGUGGGGAAUUUUGGACAAUGGGCGCAAGCCUGAUCCAGCCAUGCCGCGUGAGUGAAGAAGGCCUUCGGGUU
RNAcentral lists this ribosomal RNA (416 nucleotides) under uncultured bacterium. Its description in RNAcentral is "bacterial SSU rRNA". It matches the Rfam family "Bacterial small subunit ribosomal RNA", at positions 8 to 424 of the family's 1533-position model. The record is from RNAcentral.